UAGGGAAUAUUGGACAAUGGGGGCAACCCUGAUCCAGCAAUGCAGCGUGAGUGACGAAGGCCUUAGGGUUGUAAAACUCUUUCAUCGGUGAGGAUAAUGACAGUAGCCGAAGAAGAAGGACCGGCUAAUUCCGUGCCAGCAGCCGCGGUAAUACGGAAGGUCCUAGCGUUGUUCGGAAUUACUGGGCGUAAAGCGCAUGUAGGCGGAACAGAAAGUUAGAAGUGAAAUCCCUGGGCUCAACCUAGGAAUUGCUUUUAAAACUUCUGUUCUGGAAUUCAGGAGAGGAAAAUGGAAUUUCCAGUGUAGAGGUGAAAUUCGUAGAUAUUGGAAGGAACACCAGUGGCGAAGGCGAUUUUCUGGACUGAUAUUGACGCUGAGAUGCGAAGGCAUGGGUAGCAAACGGG
This 404-nucleotide ribosomal RNA is filed under the name uncultured bacterium. Its description in RNAcentral is "bacterial SSU rRNA". It matches the Rfam family "Bacterial small subunit ribosomal RNA", at positions 355 to 776 of the family's 1533-position model. The record is from RNAcentral.